GACGAACGCUGGCGGCGUGCCUAAUACAUGCAAGUAGAACGCACAGUUUAUACCGUAGCUUGCUACACCAUAGACUGUGAGUUGCGAACGGGUGAGUAACGCGUAGGUAACCUGCCUGGCAGCGGGGGAUAACUAUUGGAAACGAUAGCUAAUACCGCAUAAUAUUAAUUAUUGCAUGAUAAUUAAUUGAAAGGUGCAAUUGCACCACUACCAGAUGGACCUGCGUUGUAUUGGCUAGUAGGUGAGGUAACGGCUCACCUAGGCGACGAUACAUAGCCGACCUGAGAGGGUGAUCGGCCAAACUGGGACUGAGACACGGCCCAGACUCCUACGGGAGGCAGCAGUAGGGAAUCUUCGGCAAUGGACGAAAGUCUGACCGAGCAACGCCGCGUGAGUGAAGAAGGUUUUCGGAUCGUAAAGCUCUGUUGUAAGAGAAGAACGGGUGUGAGAGUGGAAAGUUCACACUGUGACGGUAGCUUACCAGAAAGGGACGGCUAACUACGUG
This 505-nucleotide ribosomal RNA is filed under the name uncultured bacterium. RNAcentral's name for it is "partial 16S ribosomal RNA". It matches the Rfam family "Bacterial small subunit ribosomal RNA", at positions 28 to 507 of the family's 1533-position model. The record is from RNAcentral.